UUUUAUACGACCGCAAAAAAAAUUUUGUGGUCGUAUAUUGGUAUGACGUUGGCGUCGUCUUCGUCGUCGUCGUCUGGCGUCGUCCGGCGUCGUCCGAAGACACAUUGGUUUUCGCACUCUAACUUUAGUUAAAGUGAAUGGAUCUCUAUGAAAUUUUACCACAAGGUUCAAUACCACAAAAGGAAGGUUGGGAUUGAUUUUGGGGGUUAUGGUACCAACAGUAAAGGAAUUAGGGGCCAAAAAGGGGCCAAAAAUAAGCAUUUUUGUAACUCCCAGACAUAACUUGUGUGUUAGUGUAUGGAUAUCUCUGACAUUGUACCACAAGGUUCCAUAUUACAAAAGGAAUGCUGGGAUUGAUUUUGGGGGUAAUUGCCUCAAAAUUUUAGGAAUUAGGGGCCAAAAAAGGGGCAAAAAACAAGCAUUUUUCUAGUUUCAUGACAAUAACUUGUGUGUAAGUGUAUGGAUCUUUCUGAAAUUGUACUACAAGGUUCCAUAUCACAAAGGGAAAGCUGGAAUUGAGUUUGGGGGUAAUUGCCGAAACGUUUAGGAAUUGGGGGCCAAAAAAGGGGCCAAAAAUAAGCAUUUUUCUAGUUUCCAGACAAUAACUUGUGUUCAAGUGUAUGGAUCUCUCUGAAAUUGUACUGCAAGGUACCAUACCACAAAGGGAAGGCUGGGAUUGAGUUUGGGGGUGAUAAAUCAUAAGGGGGUUCAAAAAAUUUGGGGGGGGGGGGGGGGGGGGGUUUUUUCCUUUU
Molecule: long non-coding RNA, 752 nt
Organism: Mytilus californianus (California mussel)
Lineage: Eukaryota; Metazoa; Mollusca; Bivalvia; Mytilida; Mytilidae
Exons: 2
Source: RefSeq, a predicted model, not a curated record